RNAcentral lists this ribosomal RNA (497 nucleotides) under uncultured bacterium. RNAcentral describes it as "partial 16S ribosomal RNA". It matches the Rfam family "Bacterial small subunit ribosomal RNA", at positions 28 to 507 of the family's 1533-position model. The record is from RNAcentral.
GACGAACGCUGGCGGCGUGCCUAAUGCAUGCAAGUCGAGCGAACAGACGAGGAGCUUGCUCCUCUGACGUUAGCGGCGGACGGGUGAGUAACACGUGGAUAACCUACCUAUAAGACUGGGAUAACUUCGGGAAACCGGAGCUAAUACCGGAUAAUAUAUUGAACCGCAUGGUUCAAUAGUGAAAGACGGUUUUGCUGUCACUUAUAGAUGGAUCCGCGCCGCAUUAGCUAGUUGGUAAGGUAACGGCUUACCAAGGCGACGAUGCGUAGCCGACCUGAGAGGGUGAUCGGCCACACUGGAACUGAGACACGGUCCAGACUCCUACGGGAGGCAGCAGUAGGGAAUCUUCCGCAAUGGGCGAAAGCCUGACGGAGCAACGCCGCGUGAGUGAUGAAGGUCUUCGGAUCGUAAAACUCUGUUAUUAGGGAAGAACAAAUGUGUAAGUAACUAUGCACGUCUUGACGGUACCUAAUCAGAAAGCCACGGCUAACUACGUG